UACGGAGGAUCCAAGCGUUAUCCGGAUUUAUUGGGUUUAAAGGGUGCGUAGGCGGCCUAUUAAGUCAGGGGUGAAAGACGGUAGCUCAACUAUCGCAGUGCCUUUGAUACUGAUGGGCUUGAAUAUACUAGAGGCAGGCGGAAUGAGGCAAGUAGCGGUGAAAUGCAUAGAUAUGCCUCAGAACACCGAUUGCGAAGGCAGCUUGCUAUGGUAUUAUUGACGCUGAGGCACGAAAGCGUGGGGAUCAAACAGG
RNAcentral lists this ribosomal RNA (253 nucleotides) under uncultured prokaryote. RNAcentral describes it as "partial 16S ribosomal RNA". It matches the Rfam family "Bacterial small subunit ribosomal RNA", at positions 524 to 776 of the family's 1533-position model. The record is from RNAcentral.